UUAUCUUCUGUAGUAUCUGAGGGGGUAGCCCAAAUAAUGCGUGUGUCCAGAGGAUUCAUGACCCGUAUUAAGAUACAUCAAAAAGAUCUAAGACUUUGGGAGCAUCUUCAAGAAUCUGCUGAAAAAAUUAUGUUUUUUUGGAGUUUCAGAAAGAAUCACCAAUGUUUAUUGCAUUCUACUUGAUGCUAGAAAGAUUGAAAUUUAAUGGAACAUGUAAUGAAAGUAGAGAAUAUAAAUGAACAUUACUACAUGAGGAAACAAAUUUAUGAUUCUAAGCUAAA
Long non-coding RNA from Brassica rapa (field mustard), 281 nucleotides. RefSeq lists it as uncharacterized. The record is from RefSeq and is a predicted model, not a curated record. NCBI's taxonomy places the organism in Eukaryota, Viridiplantae, Streptophyta, Magnoliopsida, Brassicales, Brassicaceae.